RNAcentral lists this transfer RNA (74 nucleotides) under bacterium. RNAcentral describes it as "tRNA-Gln". It matches the Rfam family "tRNA". Rfam says of the family: Transfer RNA (tRNA) molecules are approximately 80 nucleotides in length. Their secondary structure includes four short double-helical elements and three loops (D, anti-codon, and T loops). The record is from RNAcentral. RNAcentral also lists the same sequence under 1 other name.
UGGGGAAUCGUCUAAUGGUAGGACCCCGGACUCUGACUCCGUUUAUCUAGGUUCGAAUCCUAGUUCCCCAGCCA